GUGGUCGGUGUACAGGUGGUGCAUGGCUGUCGUCAGCUCGUGUCGUGAGAUGUUGGGUUAAGUCCCGCAACGAGCGCAACCCUUGUCUUAUGUUGCCAGCACGUGAUGGUGGGGACUCGUAAGAGACUGCCGGGGUCAACUCGGAGGAAGGUGGGGACGACGUCAAGUCAUCAUGCCCCUUAUGUCCAGGGCUUCACACAUGCUACAAUGGCCAGUACAGAGGGCUGCGAGACCGUGAGGUGGAGCGAAUCCCUUAAAAGCUAGGUCUCAGUUCGGAUCGGGGUCUGCAACUCGACCCCGUGAAGUCGGAGUCGCUAGUAAUCGCAGAUCAGCAACGCUGCGGUGAAUACGUUCCCGGGCCUU
Molecule: ribosomal RNA, 363 nt
Filed under: uncultured Rhodococcus sp.
Lineage: Bacteria; Bacillati; Actinomycetota; Actinomycetes; Mycobacteriales; Nocardiaceae
Description: bacterial SSU rRNA
Rfam family: Bacterial small subunit ribosomal RNA
Source: RNAcentral